This 278-nucleotide ribosomal RNA is filed under the name Listeria monocytogenes. RNAcentral describes it as "partial 16S ribosomal RNA". It matches the Rfam family "Bacterial small subunit ribosomal RNA", at positions 1 to 267 of the family's 1533-position model. The record is from RNAcentral. Lineage: Bacteria; Bacillati; Bacillota; Bacilli; Caryophanales; Listeriaceae.
UUUAAAGAGAGUUUGAUCCUGGCUCAGGACGAACGCUGGCGGCGUGCCUAAUACAUGCAAGUCGAACGAACGGAGGAAGAGCUUGCUCUUCCAAAGUUAGUGGCGGACGGGUGAGUAACACGUGGGCAACCUGCCUGUAAGUUGGGGAUAACUCCGGGAAACCGGGGCUAAUACCGAAUGAUAAAGUUUGGCGCAUGCCACGCUUUUGAAAGAUGGUUUCGGCUAUCGCUUACAGAUGGGCCCGCGGUGCAUUAGCUAGUUGGUAGGGUAAUGGCCUA